This is a non-coding RNA of Maylandia zebra (zebra mbuna), 162 nucleotides long. The record is from RefSeq and is a predicted model, not a curated record. NCBI's taxonomy places the organism in Eukaryota, Metazoa, Chordata, Actinopteri, Cichliformes, Cichlidae.
UGAAUGCUACAUCCGUCCUGCGACGGUACACCGCCUCCGCACCACCGUUUAAACAUGAAGUGUGGAUGUUAGAAGAUCCCAAAUAUGGAAAUAGUCAGGACCCAGAUGAACCUGUGCUGGAAUUCAGUGUGGGCUAGGGCCUAUUAUAUGCUGUAGCCUGAA